UUUGGCCUUUUACAUUUAAAACAUUAUCAGCUUUACAAAUCUUAUGCUAAUUUGAACAUGGCUAUUAGAAACAGGUGUAAUGAAUUGCCUUUCUCUGAGAUAUUGGGACUUCUGGAUUUCAGGCAGCCAGCCUGCUUGUACAUGGGCCCAAAGAAUAAAAAAGGCUUGUUACAAGAACACAAACUACAGCAACAACAUUUCACACAUUAUACUGAAACUUGAAGAAUCGUCAGUGAUGUGACAUGAACACAAAGGCUACUUUCAAGCAAAUUCAAGCAUUCUUGUACCUCAGUCUGCGUAAAAUAAAGAAAAUAUUAGAAAUGUAUUGCCUUUGCUUCUUUAAUCCAAUUCUGAUAAGACAGGAUUGUUUUUGUUAAAAGGGAGUAGAGAAUUCUGCACUGGUCACGUUUCAAAAAGACAUGUCUUUCAUCUGCAAACUAUAACACAGAUGGCAGACAGGUAAAAAAUACAAACAAGGUCUUGAGGAAAUGAUUUUCACUUAUUAACAGCUGCAUUCUCAUUUUUUUAUUCAUCCAUGUAUGUGCAUUAGGAAUCCCCUCUUUGCAAAACACAAUUAGUACACAUUUUACAGACAUAACAAAACUCAUCGAUCCUACCUACAUUUUAUGACUAUACGACUGUCGAUUUUUAUACUGUCUACAUUUUCCCUAAUAAACAACCUUCUGAUUAAUAAACUAA
Molecule: long non-coding RNA, 699 nt
Organism: Protopterus annectens (West African lungfish)
Lineage: Eukaryota; Metazoa; Chordata; Ceratodontiformes; Protopteridae
Exons: 3
Source: RefSeq, a predicted model, not a curated record